CCUACGGGCGGCUGCAGUCGAGAAUCAUUCACAAUGGGGGAAACCCUGAUGGUGCGACGCCGCGUGGGGGAAUGAAGGUCUUCGGAUUGUAAACCCCUGUCAUGUGGGAGCAAAUUAAAAAGAUAGUACCACAAGAGGAAGAGACGGCUAACUCUGUGCCAGCAGUCGCGGUAAUACAGAGGUCUCAAGCGUUGUUCGGAAUCACUGGGCGUAAGGCGUGCGUAGGCUGUUUCGUAAGUCGCGUGUGAAAGGCGCGGGCUCAACCCGCGGACGGCACAUGAGACUGGGAGACUAGAGUAAUGGAGGGGGAACCGGAAUUCUCGGUGUAGCAGUGAAAUGCGUAGAUAUCGAGAGGAACACUCGUGGCGAAGGCGGGUUCCUGGACAUUAACUGACGCUGAGGCACGAAGGCCAGGGUAGCGAAAGGGAUUAGAUACCCCAGUAGUC
RNAcentral lists this ribosomal RNA (446 nucleotides) under uncultured bacterium. RNAcentral's name for it is "partial 16S ribosomal RNA". It matches the Rfam family "Bacterial small subunit ribosomal RNA", at positions 338 to 795 of the family's 1533-position model. The record is from RNAcentral.